GCUGGGCAUGGUGGCGUAUGCCUGUAAUCCCAGCUACUCAGAAGGCUGAGGCACGAGAAUCGCUUGAGCUUGGGAGGCAGAGGUUGCAGUGAGCAGAGAUUGUGCCACUGCACUACAGCCUGGGCGACAGAGCGAGAUUUUGUCUCAA
RNAcentral lists this non-coding RNA (148 nucleotides) under Nomascus leucogenys (northern white-cheeked gibbon). The record is from Rfam by way of RNAcentral. Lineage: Eukaryota; Metazoa; Chordata; Mammalia; Primates; Hylobatidae.